UGCAAGUCGAACGGUGAUGCCCAGCUUGCUGGGUGGAUCAGUGGCGAACGGGUGAGUAACACGUGAGCAACCUGCCCUCCACUUCGGGAUAAGCCUUGGAAACGAGGUCUAAUACCGGAUACGAGCACUUACCGCAUGGUGGGUGUUGGAAAGUUUUUCGGUGGGGGAUGGGCUCGCGGCCUAUCAGCUUGUUGGUGGGGUAAUGGCCUACCAAGGCGUCGACGGGUAGCCGGCCUGAGAGGGCGACCGGCCACACUGGGACUGAGACACGGCCCAGACUCCUACGGGAGGCAGCAGUGGGGAAUAUUGCACAAUGGGCGAAAGCCUGAUGCAGCGACGCCACGUGAGGGAUGACGGCCUUCGGGUUGUAAACCUCUUUCAGCAGGGAAGAAGCGAAAGUGACGGUACCUGCAGAAGAAGCGCCGGCUAACUACGUGCCAGCAGCCGCGGUAAUACGUAGGGCGCAAGCGUUGUCCGGAAUUAUUGGGCGUAAAGAGCUCGUAGGCGGUCUGUCGCGUCUGGUGUGAAAUCCCAUGGCUCAACCAUGGGCUUGCAUCGGGUACGGGCAGACUAGAGUGCUGUAGGGGAGACUGGAAUUCCUGGUGUAGCGGUGGAAUGCGCAGAUAUCAGGAGGAACACCGAUGGCGAAGGCAGGUCUCUGGGCAGUUACUGACGCUGAGGAGCGAAAGCAUGGGGAGC
RNAcentral lists this ribosomal RNA (699 nucleotides) under Promicromonospora sp. YIM 63663. RNAcentral describes it as "bacterial SSU rRNA". It matches the Rfam family "Bacterial small subunit ribosomal RNA", at positions 56 to 769 of the family's 1533-position model. Lineage: Bacteria; Bacillati; Actinomycetota; Actinomycetes; Micrococcales; Promicromonosporaceae. The record is from RNAcentral.